AAUUCUCACAAUGUCCAGCAUUCCAUAAAAAAUGACCAGGCAUGCACACGUGCCCCAAACCACAGCCAUCCAUCAACAGCAAUGACAGAAGCAGUCAGUAGAAAUAAACACAGCAACAACUGAGAUGACGGGACUGGUGGGUAAGAACAUUCCAAGUGCUGUGACAGAGGGGAUCCGCAUGAGCACAAAGGGGAGAGAACAUAAAAACAAUGGCAAGUGAAAUGAAAUACUUAAAAAUGGCCUCUCGAGAUAACAAGUACAUCUCAAGGGAAAACUUCAAUGCGAAGACCGGAUUAGACACUGCAAACUAUAUAGCUGGGACAUGCUUCGCUCUCUCCUGUUUAAAACUCGUUCUAUCUAGUUCUACCCACAACUACAGGCGCACUGCACACCGCCAGCCUUCUUGUCCGUCUGCAGUCAGUCAGAAAUCAGCAGACCUUUGUGCACUUAAAGGGCCCAUGGAAAGAAACAGUAUCUCCCGAGUUCUCACCCAUUGAUAAGUGUGUGUCCCUUUUACCUGGAAAGUCAGUUUUGCUAGAACAUAAAAUCAUGGGCUCACGUUUUUUUUUUCCUUGGGUCCCUGAAAUAUGUUACUCGAUUUUCUUCUCUAUAAAGCCUACUUAUCGAAAUUUAAUGGUAAACUCAUUAUCUUUCCCUUGAAACUAUUAGUCUUUUCCAAGAAGCAGAGCUAAAAGCUAGCUGU
Molecule: long non-coding RNA, 703 nt
Organism: Phyllostomus discolor (pale spear-nosed bat)
Lineage: Eukaryota; Metazoa; Chordata; Mammalia; Chiroptera; Phyllostomidae
Exons: 2
Source: RefSeq, a predicted model, not a curated record